This 192-nucleotide small nuclear RNA is filed under the name Ixodes scapularis (black-legged tick). RNAcentral's name for it is "U2 spliceosomal RNA". It matches the Rfam family "U2 spliceosomal RNA". Rfam says of the family: U2 is a small nuclear RNA (snRNA) component of the spliceosome (involved in pre-mRNA splicing). Lineage: Eukaryota; Metazoa; Arthropoda; Arachnida; Ixodida; Ixodidae. The record is from RNAcentral.
AUCGCUUCUCGGCCUUUUGGCUAAGAUCAAAGUGUAGUAUCUGUUCUUAUCAGCUUAAUAUCUGAUACGGGUCCUAUUUGGACCCAAGAUAUUAAUCUUAUUUUUGGAACGCGGCGUAGUGCUUGAGGUUUACCUCACCUAUGCCACGGGUUGGCCUGGUAUUGCACUGCCUCCAGGAUCGGCCCACCCCCC